Molecule: non-coding RNA, 72 nt
Organism: Bos taurus (domestic cattle)
Lineage: Eukaryota; Metazoa; Chordata; Mammalia; Artiodactyla; Bovidae
Source: Rfam
UCCCUGGUGGCUCAGAUGGUAAAGCAUCUGCCUGCAAUGCGGGAGACCCAGGUUCAAUCCCUGGGUCGGGAA